This 103-nucleotide microRNA precursor is filed under the name Marmota monax (woodchuck). Lineage: Eukaryota; Metazoa; Chordata; Mammalia; Rodentia; Sciuridae. The record is from RNAcentral.
AGUAGGAUAACUGGGUCAAAUGGUGGCUCCAUUCCAAGUUUUCUGAGGAAUAUCCAUACUGUUUUCCAAUGUGGUUGCACUGAUUUGCAGUCCCAUCAGCAAU